RNAcentral lists this ribosomal RNA (497 nucleotides) under uncultured bacterium. RNAcentral describes it as "partial 16S ribosomal RNA". It matches the Rfam family "Bacterial small subunit ribosomal RNA", at positions 28 to 507 of the family's 1533-position model. The record is from RNAcentral.
GAUGAACGCUGGCGGCGUGCCUAAUACAUGCAAGUCGAGCGAACAGACGAGGAGCUUGCUCCUCUGACGUUAGCGGCGGACGGGUGAGUAACACGUGGAUAACCUACCUAUAAGACUGGGAUAACUUCGGGAAACCGGAGCUAAUACCGGAUAAUAUAUUGAACCGCAUGGUUCAAUAGUGAAAGACGGUUUUGCUGUCACUUAUAGAUGGAUCCGCGCCGCAUUAGCUAGUUGGUAAGGUAACGGCUUACCAAGGCAACGAUGCGUAGCCGACCUGAGAGGGUGAUCGGCCACACUGGAACUGAGACACGGUCCAGACUCCUACGGGAGGCAGUAGUAGGGAAUCUUCAGCAAUGGGCGAAAGCCUGACGGAGCAACGCCGCGUGAGUGAUGAAGGUCUUCGGAUCGUAAAACUCUGUUAUUAGGGAAGAACAAAUGUGUAAGUAACUAUGCACGUCUUGACGGUACCUAAUCAGAAAGCCACGGCUAACUACGUG